Molecule: ribosomal RNA, 503 nt
Filed under: uncultured bacterium
Lineage: Bacteria
Description: partial 16S ribosomal RNA
Rfam family: Bacterial small subunit ribosomal RNA
Source: RNAcentral
AUUGAACGCUGGCGGCAGGCUUAACACAUGCAAGUCGAGCGGGGUGAUGGUGCUUGCACUAUCACUUAGCGGCGGACGGGUGAGUAAUGCUUAGGAAUCUGCCUAUUAGUGGGGGACAACAUCUCGAAAGGGAUGCUAAUACCGCAUACGUCCUACGGGAGAAAGCAGGGGAUCACUUGUGACCUUGCGCUAAUAGAUGAGCCUAAGUCGGAUUAGCUAGUUGGUGGGGUAAAGGCCUACCAAGGCGACGAUCUGUAGCGGGUCUGAGAGGAUGAUACGCCAAACUGGGACUGAGACACGGCCCAGACUCCUACGGGAGGAAGCAGUGGGGAAUAUUGGACAAUGGGGGGAACCCUGAUCCAGCCAUGCCGCGUGUGUGAAGAAGGCCUUAUGGUUGUAAAGCACUUUAAGCGAGGAGGAGGCUCUUUUGGUUAAUACCCAAGAUGAGUGGACGUUACUCGCAGAAUAAGCACCGGCUAACUCUGUGCCAGCAGCCGCGGUAA